AAUGAACGCUGGCGGUGUGCCUAAUACAUGCAAGUCGAACGACCACACAGUAAGCUUUCUCUUCUACCGGUGGCGACUGGCGGAUGGGUAACGAGUACAUCGCCUUCCUCUUUUACUUGGAUGACUUCGUGGGAACACUGCUGCUAACACCUCACAUGAUCAACCGCUUAAAUCAACGGUUCAUGACACUCUUGCUGUCUCUUAUAGCCGAUUUCGGAUUAGCUAGUUUGCUGGGUAAGGGCCCACCAAGGCGACGAUGCGUAGCUGGUCUGAGAGGAUGAUCAGCCACACUGGAACUGAGACACGGUCCAGACUCCUACGGGAGGCAGCAGUGGGGAAUAUUGGACAAUGGGCGAAAGCCUGAUGGAGCAAUGCCGCGUGGGUGAAGAAGGCCUUCGGGUUGUAAAACCCUGUUGUUAGGAAAGAAAAGAAGCAGAAGAAAACACGGCUGUCUUGACGGUACCUAAAGAGAAAGCAACGGCUAACUACGUG
Molecule: ribosomal RNA, 492 nt
Filed under: uncultured bacterium
Lineage: Bacteria
Description: partial 16S ribosomal RNA
Rfam family: Bacterial small subunit ribosomal RNA
Source: RNAcentral